CAUGUUGCGCUGGUGUUUGCGCAGGUCCGAAGAGCGCACGAAGGCCUUCCCGCAGUCUGGACACGGGAAAUCAUUUUUCAGAUGCUACCUGGGGACUCCUGCAGCUGCUGUGCAUUUUCUUGGAAUCUCUCAUGGAACCAUGCAUGAUGACUGUUUCUACAUCUCUGCAUGGGAAGGAACUCAGGGAUAGAGGGCACCCCGUUCCAUCCCCAUCCCAGCCCCUAGUGCAGGGGAAGAGAGCCGUGGAUGUUAACUAUUUGCCUGGAAUGUGUGAGACGGAUCCUGCCCUUUCCUUCACCAAGCCACCUAGCAGAACCCAUGCCAUCCAGGGCAUCUGCGAGAGAAACACCUCUCCCAGCCUCCCCUGAGCAGCCCACUAGCGCUGUGGAUUCCAGAUCCUGAAACUGCAUCUUGCACUCGGUGUCCUGAGCCCAGCUGAAGUGGCAGGAGCACCACUGACUCCAGAACAGACUUGUAAAGAAAGAAGGUAUCUCCCAAGUCAGCCACAGAGGCUCAUGGUUUCCUGCUCCAUCUAGUCCUGGGUGUUUGCUUAAAUGGGCACUGGCUGACAUGACUGAAACCUCAUGCAUCCAUCACACAUUCACCCUCAACAAAGACACAGCCCCUCCUUUAAGGCCUGUGCUCCCUGUACAUACACAGUGCCCUGCAGCACAGAGAAACCACAUGAAUGGCCUUCUUGGCUCAAGGAGUCAGGGAGUAGGGGCCUGCUGAGCAUGACCAUGUCCAGAGAGUGGGGACCCCAAGAACUGUAACAGCCCAUUGGACAGAUGUGGGCAGGAAUGGGGACAAAAUCACCCACAGUCUCAGACCCCAAAUGAGGUGUGAAUAUGAAAUCCAUGAAAACCUCAUGUGGAGGCCAAAAGACUAACUAGAUUCCCAUCUCAUCUCUCCAGGCCAGAAGCCUAUUAUCCAAUCCUUCCUCUCAUUGCAAGCCCCAGAAGUAACAGCAAUUACAAAAUAAAGAAAAAUAAGAACUUGUCAGCUCCAAUUUUGGGGUUUGAAUGUGGUCUCUGGGGAAUGAUCAGACGGUGGAAGCAGCUGUGGGCAGGGACUCCUCAUGCAGCGAUGACUACUCACUAACCCAGGGCAUGCAUUCGAGGUAAACCCUGUGGGAUUCAGGGCUUGUCCUGCAUCUCACAGUUGAGCGGGCAAGAGCCACCUCUGCCCAAGUGAGGCUUUGUCCCGCACGUCAUCUGUAUGACCUUGCUCUAGGCUGCUCAGGGACGGUUUAUGCAGAUUUUGGUGGAUGCUAGACACACUAAAGAAACACCAUCUCAGGGGUCACUUGGAUUGGAAUGAAGCCAAGGCCAUGGGACCAACUGACUUCCAAGGAUAUUUGGGCCAGGGUGGCAGAUACGUAGGAGAAAAUGUCCUUUGGUGUGAGGAGAGGUCCUUCCCAACCCCAGGGUGUGCACUCCUCUGGCCCUUUGGAGCUGUUAAAUACUGGCCAGAGCAGAUGACAUGAGAUGCCUACUUUUGGAUGGAAACACCUUGCAUGAUCUCUGCUUCUUCAUUCCUGUAAUUGUUUUAAACAGUACUCAUGGAAGAAAACUCAGGACCAUUUUUGUUAGUGGCUAACAAAUUGUUACAGCCUUUAUCAUAGUGUAAGCAUUCUGCAAACUCAGAGACUUUGCAUCUGGAGAUCUGCUACUACGAUGCAACAUUCAGUGUCUUUCAAAAUGGAACCUGGCAUAUCACCUUUUUGUUUGAUAUUUUCCCCACUCUUCAUCUCACUUAUCCUCCUUUUCUUUCAUUCCCGUCUACAUACAAACUUCAUGAGAGAACAGUUUUCUCUUUGGAAGAAUCUAACUUAGAUAUUUUGUGCUAUCAUAUGGACAGAAGGGCUAAAACUCUUCUUUAGUGGCUAGUCAAUAAUCGCAAAGCCAGGAUCACAAUUUCCUCCCAGUUUUCCACUCAGUCCUGACUUUGCUCAGCUGGAGUAUUUGCUAAUGAAUAGACUCUGCUUUCCUCAUUCAGAAAGUACACGGCUUUUGUCAUUGGCAGAGCCCAUUCACUGUCUAUGUCAUAUAUAAUGUCAAGUUUUGUAAGCAUAAUAUACCAGAUAGGUCUCUGUUCAGGAACAGUCCACCAUGUAAUCCAGUUCUUCACCACAAGGACCUGUAGUAUCAUGGUAGGAGAUGUUGAGAGUGAGACAUAGCCAGCUGUGGAUUUCCAGCUGAAGAAGCAUUGAGAAGGUAUUUUAAGUAUUCAAUACUUUGGGGCAGGAUGACACACAAACCAUUACAGAUAGAGGAGCAUCAGGUACAUGUUAAAGGCCCUCAGAAAUAAAGAGUCCAUAAUCAAUGCCAAAUACCAUCUUGUAACAGAAUUUCUUCUUACUUAAGGGGAGUUGGUAUUAUUGAGAACUUAUUAACAGUCAGGAAUAUUUUACAUUCAUUGUCUUAACUAAUGCUCACAAAAGCCCUCUGAUUUAGGAACUCAGACAACCCCAUUUUACAGAUGAGAAAACUGAAGUUUAUAGAAGUUAAGUUACUUUUCCAAGUAAGUGGCAGAAUCUAGAUUCAACCCUAGUAUAUUUUUCUCUAAAGGCCAAGAGAUUAGCUACCAUGCCUUAUGCUACAUUGCCUCACCUGAACACUCAUGCUAUAAUUUACACUCACUGCUUGUAUUUGUUUCUGGCACAGUCUCUCCCAGAACCCCAGAAUACCAGACCAGCACCAUCUAAUGGAAAUAUAAUGUGAGCCAUGAAUAUAGGCCACAUUUGUAAUUUUAAAUUUUCUAGUAGCCACAUUUUUAAAUAUUAAAAAAAUGAGUGAAAUUAAUUUAAAUAUUGUAUUUAACCCAGUAUAUCUAAAGCAUUAUCAUUUCAACAUGAAAUCAACAUAAAAAUUAUCCAUGAAAUAACUUAACACUUUCUUUUGGACUAAGCCUUUGCAAACUGAUGGGUGUUGUAUGCUUACAGCCUGACUUAGUUCCAACUGUCCACAUUUCAAUUGCUUAAUAGCCAUGUGGCCAGUAGCUACCAAACCAAACACCAUGAGUCUAAAUUCAUAAUCCCAACACUCUUCAUAAUCUUUGGAGCUCUUCUUGAAAGUCUUUCAGAAGAUAGGAACAGAACUGACAAGAUAAAGAGCCUAUUUUUAGUUAUUUGCUUUAGUCCAAGAAAAGAAAAGAAAUAAACAAUAGAUUUCACAACUUCCAUCUACAACCAGUAGUCAGCUUAGUUGCUGAAGGUCAGAUGAGAAGCAGAGUGAUGGAAUCCACAUCAUUACAUAACAUGUGUCAGGUGUUCACAUGCUUUCAGAGGGAAGCUGAACACAAUGUGAAGAUCAGAAAGCUGUAGAUCCCUGACCAGAGGGUUGCUCAUGAAUCCAGCUCACAAGGAACACCAGCAGAGCUACCAUUAACUCCCUCCCAGUCCUUCCUCUCCUUACUGUCACUCUCACCCCUGCCCCAGUUUGAAAGGCAAGGUGCAUGAGCCAGGCCUAACCAGUGUAGGACAGACCCCAUCCUCCUCACAUCCAGAGGGCAGAAAGAAACCUCAAGACCUCCUUUCACCCCCAGCCCCUUGGAGAAUCCUCUAACACCAGGAGUUCUCAAACUUUUAUGCACAACAGAAUCACCUGGAGGACAUGUUAAAAUUCUGAUUCUGUGCCUUAUCCCCAAGAGGUCUGAGAUGGGGCUGGGGAAUGUGCAUUUCUAGCAGGUUCCAAGGCUGUUCAUGCUGUAGGUCAGAAGAUGAUCACACAUUGAGAACCCAAAGCUCAUCCCUAAGUUAUCAAUAUAUCACUCAACAGCAAGAACAGAUCUAAGAAAAG
RNAcentral lists this long non-coding RNA (3800 nucleotides) under Homo sapiens (human). Its description in RNAcentral is "HSALNT0018395". The record is from RNAcentral. Lineage: Eukaryota; Metazoa; Chordata; Mammalia; Primates; Hominidae.